UACGUAGGGGGCAAGCGUUGUCCGGAAUCAUUGGGCGUAAAGAGCGUGUAGGCGGCCAGAAAAGUCCGCUGUGAAAUCCCGAGGCUCAACCUCGGGUCUGCAGUCGAUACGAGCAAACUAGAGUGUUGCAGGGGAGACUGGAAUUCCUGGUGUAGCGGUGAAAUGCGCAGAUAUCAGGAGGAACACCGGUGGCGAAGGCGGGUCUCUGGGCAACAACUGACGCUGAGGAGCGAAAGCGUGGGGAGCGAACAGG
This 253-nucleotide ribosomal RNA is filed under the name uncultured bacterium. RNAcentral describes it as "partial 16S ribosomal RNA". It matches the Rfam family "Bacterial small subunit ribosomal RNA", at positions 524 to 776 of the family's 1533-position model. The record is from RNAcentral.